Molecule: ribosomal RNA, 253 nt
Filed under: uncultured bacterium
Lineage: Bacteria
Description: partial 16S ribosomal RNA
Rfam family: Bacterial small subunit ribosomal RNA
Source: RNAcentral
UACGUAGGUGGCAAGCGUUGUCCGGAAUUAUUGGGCGUAAAGGGCGCGUAGGUGGCGGCCCAAGUCCAUGGUGAAAGCUCGAUGCUCAACAUCGAGUCGGCCACGGAUACUGGGUUGCUCGAGCACUGUAGGGGCAGAUGGAAUUCCGGGUGCAGCGGUGGAAUGCGUAGAGAUCCGGAAGAACACCGGUGGCGAAGGCGGUCUGCUGGGCAGUUGCUGACACUGAGGCGCGACAGCGUGGGGAGCAAACAGG